UACGUAGGGUGCAAGCGUUAAUCGGAAUUACUGGGCGUAAAGCGUGCGCAGGCGGUUUUGUAAGACAGGCGUGAAAUCCCCGGGCUUAACCUGGGAAUGGCGCUUGUGACUGCAAAGCUGGAGUGCGGCAGAGGGGGAUGGAAUUCCGCGUGUAGCAGUGAAAUGCGUAGAUAUGCGGAGGAACACCGAUGGCGAAGGCAAUCCCCUGGGCCUGCACUGACGCUCAUGCACGAAAGCGUGGGGAGCAAACAGG
RNAcentral lists this ribosomal RNA (253 nucleotides) under uncultured bacterium. Its description in RNAcentral is "partial 16S ribosomal RNA". It matches the Rfam family "Bacterial small subunit ribosomal RNA", at positions 524 to 776 of the family's 1533-position model. The record is from RNAcentral.